This 185-nucleotide unclassified non-coding RNA is filed under the name rhizosphere metagenome. RNAcentral describes it as "partial ribosomal RNA internal transcribed spacer region". The record is from RNAcentral.
GAGUAUCAUGCCCUUACGGGUAGAUCUCCACCCUUGAAUAACAUACCUUUGUUGCUUUGGCAGGACGCACUCGUGCCAGGGGCUUCGGCUCUUGAGUGCCUGCCAGAGGACCUAAAACUCUUGAUUUAUUAUUGUCUGAGUACUAUAUAAUAGUUAAAACUUUCAACAACGGAUCUCUUGGUUCU